ACGUAGGGUGCGAGCGUUAAUCGGAAUUACUGGGCGUAAAGCGGGCGCAGACGGUUACUUAAGCAGGAUGUGAAAUCCCCGGGCUCAACCCGGGAACUGCGUUCUGAACUGGGUGACUCGAGUGUGUCAGAGGGAGGUAGAAUUCCACGUGUAGCAGUGAAAUGCGUAGAGAUGUGGAGGAAUACCGAUGGCGAAGGCAGCCUCCUGGGACAACACUGACGUUCAUGCCCGAAAGCGUGGGUAGCAAACAGGAUUAGAUACCCUGGUAGUCCACGCCCUAAACGAUGUCAAUUAGCUGUUGGGCAACCUGAUUGCUUGGUAGCGUAGCUAACGCGUGAAAUUGACCGCCUGGGGAGUACGGUCGCAAGAUUAAAACUCAAAGGAAUUGACGGGGACCCGCACAAGCGGUGGAUGAUGUGGAUUAAUUCGAUGCAACGCGAAGAACCUUACCUGGUCUUGACAUGUACGGAAUCCUCUGGAGACGGAGGAGUGCCUUCGGGAGCCGUAACACAGGUGCUGCAUGGCUGUCGUCAGCUCGUGUCGUGAGAUGUUGGGUUAAGUCCCGCAACGAGCGCAACCCUUGUCAUUAGUUGCCAUCAUUCAGUUGGGCACUCUAAUGAGACUGCCGGUGACAAGCCGGAGGAAGGUGGGGAUGACGUCAAGUCCUCAUGGCCCUUAUGACCAGGGCUUCACACGUCAUACAAUGGUCGGUACAGAGGGUAGCCAAGCCGCGAGGCGGAGCCAAUCUCACAAAACCGAUCGUAGUCCGGAUUGCACUCUGCAACUCGAGUGCAUGAAGUCGGAAUCGCUAGUAAUCGCAGGUCAGCAUACUGCGGUGAAUACGUUCCCGGGUCUUGUACACACCGCCCGUCACACCAUGGGAGUGGGGGAUACCAGAAGUAGGUAGGGUAACCGCAAGGAGUCCGCUUACCACGGUAUGCUUCAUGACUGGGGUGAAGUCGUAACAAGGUAGCCGUAGGGGAACC
Molecule: ribosomal RNA, 986 nt
Filed under: Neisseria meningitidis 053442
Lineage: Bacteria; Pseudomonadati; Pseudomonadota; Betaproteobacteria; Neisseriales; Neisseriaceae
Description: bacterial SSU rRNA
Rfam family: Bacterial small subunit ribosomal RNA
Source: RNAcentral